This 253-nucleotide ribosomal RNA is filed under the name uncultured bacterium. RNAcentral describes it as "partial 16S ribosomal RNA". It matches the Rfam family "Bacterial small subunit ribosomal RNA", at positions 524 to 776 of the family's 1533-position model. The record is from RNAcentral.
UACGGAGGGUGCGAGCGUUGUCCGGAAUCACUGGGCGUAAAGGGCGCGUAGGCGGCCUGAUAAGUAGGGGGUGAAAUCCUGCGGCUUAACCGCAGGGCUGCCUUCUAAACUGUCAGGCUAGAGCACGGUAGAGGCAGAUGGAAUUCCCGGUGUAGCGGUGGAAUGCGUAGAGAUCGGGAAGAACAUCAGUGGCGAAGGCGGCCUGCUGGGCUGUUGCUGACGCUGAGGCGCGACAGCGUGGGGAGCAAACAGG